UUUAUGGAGUGUCCCAUCGUCUCCUUCUAGCUCUAGAACUUUAAUGUCUUCCUAUCGACAUAACUCUGCACACUGCUGAGUUAGCUGAUUUGUAGCUAUAGACUUCAGUUUAUCUUCAUUAGUCUUUAGCUUUUCUAUCUCAUUACCCAUACUGUCCACUUUCAUUGAAAGCGUAGUUAGGGUGUUAAGUAUUUUUUCUAGAGUAUCUUCCUCUACUAUUUCAGUCUGUGUAGCUUUGUCUUGAUAUGUAAUCUGCAA
RNAcentral lists this long non-coding RNA (258 nucleotides) under Capsicum annuum. RNAcentral's name for it is "long non-coding RNA (CANN_LNC006826)". Lineage: Eukaryota; Viridiplantae; Streptophyta; Magnoliopsida; Solanales; Solanaceae. The record is from RNAcentral.